GAGUAACACGUGGGUAAUCUGCCCUGCACUUCGGGAUAAGCCUGGGAAACUGGGUCUAAUACCGGAUAUGAACUCCUGCCGCAUGGUGGGGGUUGGAAAGUUUUUCGGUGCAGGAUGAGCCCGCGGCCUAUCAGCUUGUUGGUGGGGUAAUGGCCUACCAAGGCGACGACGGGUAGCCGGCCUGAGAGGGUGAUCGGCCACACUGGGACUGAGACACGGCCCAGACUCCUACGGGAGGCAGCAGUGGGGAAUAUUGCACAAUGGGCGAAAGCCUGAUGCAGCGACGCCGCGUGGGGGAUGACGGUCUUCGGAUUGUAAACCCCUUUCAGUAGGGACGAAGCGCAAGUGACGGUACCUGCAGAAGAAGCACCGGCUAACUACGUGCCAGCAGCCGCGGUAAUACGUAGGGUGCGAGCGUUGUCCGGAAUUACUGGGCGUAAAGAGCUCGUAGGCGGUUUGUCACGUCGUCUGUGAAAUCCCUCGGCUUAACCGGGGGCGUGCAGGCGAUACGGGCAGACUUGAGUACUACAGGGGAGACUGGAAUUCCUGGUGUAGCGGUGAAAUGCGCAGAUAUCAGGAGGAACACCGGUGGCGAAGGCGGGUCUCUGGGUAGUAACUGACGCUGAGGAGCGAAAGCAUGGGUAGCGAACAGGAUUAGAUACCCUGGUAGUCCAUGCCG
Molecule: ribosomal RNA, 679 nt
Filed under: Dietzia sp. EGI80084
Lineage: Bacteria; Bacillati; Actinomycetota; Actinomycetes; Mycobacteriales; Dietziaceae
Description: bacterial SSU rRNA
Rfam family: Bacterial small subunit ribosomal RNA
Source: RNAcentral